This 74-nucleotide transfer RNA is filed under the name Bipolaris maydis (southern corn leaf blight pathogen). Its description in RNAcentral is "tRNA-Ala". The record is from RNAcentral. RNAcentral also lists the same sequence under 2 other names. Lineage: Eukaryota; Fungi; Ascomycota; Dothideomycetes; Pleosporales; Pleosporaceae.
GGGCUUGUGGUUUAGUGGUAUAAUACUCCCUUAGCAUGGGAGUGGUCCGGGGUAAAUGCUUCCCAAUCAUCUCA